UCCGUAGGUGAACCUGCGGAAGGAUCAUUAUUGAAU
Molecule: ribosomal RNA, 36 nt
Filed under: Thanatephorus cucumeris
Lineage: Eukaryota; Fungi; Basidiomycota; Agaricomycetes; Cantharellales; Ceratobasidiaceae
Also listed under: 10 other names
Description: partial 18S ribosomal RNA
Source: RNAcentral